GGGGGUACAGCUCAGUGGUAGAGCAUUCGAUUGCAGAUCGAGAGCUUUCUGUUUCACUCCUGAGUGCCAUCU
Trichonephila clavipes is the source of this 72-nucleotide non-coding RNA. Lineage: Eukaryota; Metazoa; Arthropoda; Arachnida; Araneae; Nephilidae. The record is from the annotation of a GenBank genome assembly.